This 411-nucleotide ribosomal RNA is filed under the name Enterococcus cecorum. Its description in RNAcentral is "bacterial SSU rRNA". It matches the Rfam family "Bacterial small subunit ribosomal RNA", at positions 967 to 1379 of the family's 1533-position model. The record is from RNAcentral. Lineage: Bacteria; Bacillati; Bacillota; Bacilli; Lactobacillales; Enterococcaceae.
AACCUUACCAGGUCUUGACAUCCUUUGACCAUCCUAGAGAUAGGACUUUCCCUUCGGGGACAAAGUGACAGGUGGUGCAUGGUUGUCGUCAGCUCGUGUCGUGAGAUGUUGGGUUAAGUCCCGCAACGAGCGCAACCCUUAUUGUUAGUUGCCAUCAUUCAGUUGGGCACUCUAGCGAGACUGCCGCAGACAAUGCGGAGGAAGGUGGGGAUGACGUCAAAUCAUCAUGCCCCUUAUGACCUGGGCUACACACGUGCUACAAUGGAGAGUACAACGAGUCGCAAAGCCGCGAGGCUAAGCCAAUCUCUUAAAGCUCUUCUCAGUUCGGAUUGUAGGCUGCAACUCGCCUACAUGAAGCCGGAAUCGCUAGUAAUCGCGGAUCAGCACGCCGCGGUGAAUACGUUCCCGGGC